CCCGCCUGGGGAUUACGCUUGCAAAAGUGAAACUCAAAGGAAUUGACGGGGACCCGCACAAGCGGUGGAGUAUGUGGUUUAAUUCGAUGCAACACGAAGAACCUUACCAGGGUUUGAAAUCAUUUCAAAACUCCUUGAAAGAGGAGCCUCCUUCGGGAUGAAAUGACAGGUGGUGCAUGGCUGUCGUCAGCUCGUGUUGUGAAAUGUCGAGUUAAGUCUCGUAACGAGCGCAACCCAUGUCUCUUGUUGCUCACUGAGUGCUUAAGAGAGACUGCCGACCAACAUCGGAGGAAGGUGUGGAUGAUGUCAAGUCAGCAUGCCCCUUACAUCCUGGGCUACACACGUACUACAAUGGUAAGGACAAUGAGCUGCGAUCCUGCGAAGGCUAGCCAAUCUCAAAAACCUUAUCUCAGUUCGGAUUGUACUCUGCAACUCGAGUACAUGAAGGUGGAAUCGCUAGUAAUCGCUGGUCAGCUAUACAGCGGUGAAUACGUUCCCGGGUCUUGUACACACUGCCCGUCACACCAUGGAAGCCGACUCUUCCCUAAGUCGUUACUCGAACCCAUUGGGACGAGGAUGCCGAAGGCAGGGUUGGUGACUGGGGUGAAGUCAUAACAAGGUAACCGUA
This 628-nucleotide ribosomal RNA is filed under the name uncultured bacterium. Its description in RNAcentral is "bacterial SSU rRNA". It matches the Rfam family "Bacterial small subunit ribosomal RNA", at positions 868 to 1504 of the family's 1533-position model. The record is from RNAcentral.